RNAcentral lists this ribosomal RNA (254 nucleotides) under uncultured bacterium. RNAcentral describes it as "partial 16S ribosomal RNA". It matches the Rfam family "Bacterial small subunit ribosomal RNA", at positions 524 to 776 of the family's 1533-position model. The record is from RNAcentral.
UACGGAGGGUGCAAGCGUUGUCCGGAUUUAUUGGGUUUAAAGGGUGCGUAGGCGGCUAAUUAAGUCAGCGGUGAAAUUCCACAGCUCAACUGUGGAACUGCCAUUGAUACUGGUUGGCUUGAGUACAGAUGAGGUAGGCGGAAUUGACAGUGUAGCGGUGAAAUGCGUAGAGAUUGGGAAGAACAUCGGUGGCGAAGGCGCUCUGCUGGACCAUAACUGACACUCACAGGACGAAAGCUAGGGGAGCGAAUGGG